UAAAAAAAAAAUUUUUCCCGGGAAAAUCUCGGAGCGGAAUUCCGCCCCAAAUCCGCGCUCCGAGGGGGGUUUUUUUGGGAAAGGCGGGAAAAAAGGAUGGAAAAUCCAUCUGGGAAUGCUCCGGGAGAGGAAUAUCCCGGGAAAACUCAUCCCGAGGAUUCCCGGCCCAUCCCGCUUUUUUUUUUUUGUUGUUUUUUGGGAAUUCCAGCCGUGGAAUAUCCCGGGAAAAUCCAAAGGGAUCCCGGGAAAAUCCGAGCCCGGGGAUCCCCGAAGGCCGGGGGAGCCCCCGGGUUCCCAUUCCCGAAGGAUUCCCGGAAGGAAAAGCCACGGGAGGAGCCGGCCCGGGAAUUCCCAGAGCGGCUCCCAGCUGGAAUUGUCCGGAAUUCUGGAUCAAAUUGUCUGGAAUUCUCUGGAAUUCUGGCUGGAAUUGUCUGGAAUUUUCUGGAAUUCUAGCUGGAAUUCUGGCUGGAAUUGCCUGGAUUUCUCUGGAAUUCUCUGGAAUUCCGGCUGGAAUUGCCUGGAUUUCUCUGGAAUUCUCUGGAAUUCCGGCUGGAAUUGCCUGGAUUUCUCUGGAAUUCUGGCUGGAAUUGUCUGGAAUUGUAGCUGGAAUUGUGGCUGGAAUUGUGGCUGGAACUGUCUGGAAUUCCGUGUGGAAUUAUAUGGAAUUCCAGCUGAAAUUGUGUCUGCAAUUGUCUGGAAUUCCCGCUGGAAUUGCCUGGAUUUCUCUGGAAUUCUGGCUGGAAUUCCGUGUGGAAUUGUAGCUGGAAUUGUGGCUGGAAUUCCCACUGGAAUUGCCCGGAAUUCUCUGGAAUUCUGGCUCAAAUUGUCUGGAAUUCUCUGGAAUUCUGGCUGGAAUUGUCUGGAAAUGUCUGGAAUUCUGGCUGGAAUUAUUUGGAAUUCUGGCUGGAACUGUCCAGAAUUCCCGCUGAAAUUGCCUGGAAUUCUCUGGAAUUCUGGCUCAAAUUGUCCGGAAUUCUCUGGAAUUGUGGCUGGAAUUGCAUUGGGAAUUGUGGCUGAAACUGUCCGGAAUUCCGUGUGGAAUUAUUUGGAAUUCUGGCUGAAACUGUCCGGAAUUGUCUGGAAUUCCCGCUGGAAUUGCCCGGAAUUCUGGCUGGAAUUAUUUGGAAUUCCGGCUGAAAUUGCCCGGAAUUCUGGCUGGAAUUGCAUCUGGAAUUCUCUGGAAUUCUCUGGAAUUCCCUGGAAUUCCGGCUGGAAUUGUCUUGGACUGUCUGGAAUUAUCUGGAAUUGCCUGGAAUUCUCUGGAAUUCUCUGGAAUUCUGGCUGGAAUGAUCUGGAAUAGCCUGGAAUUCCAUCUGGAAUCACCUGGAAUAGUCUGGAAUUCCGGCUGGAAUUGCCUGGAAUUCUCUGGAAUUCCGGCUGGAAUUGUCUUGGGUUGUCCGGAAUUAUCGGGAAUUCGGGCUGGAAUCGUCCAGAACUCUCUGGAAUAGUCUGGAAUUCGGGCUGGAAUCGUCCAGAACUCUCUGGAAUUUUCUGGAAUUCCGUCUGGAAUCGUCCAGAACUCUCUGGAAUUUUCUGGAAUUCCGUCUGGAAUCGUCCAGAACUCUCUGGAAUUCCGCCUGGCUCCACCCCCGGGAACAUCGAUCAAAUCCCAUUUUCCCUUUUUUUCCCCCC
Long non-coding RNA from Cyanistes caeruleus (blue tit), 1632 nucleotides. The record is from Ensembl. NCBI's taxonomy places the organism in Eukaryota, Metazoa, Chordata, Aves, Passeriformes, Paridae.